AACGAACGCUGGCGGCAUGCCUAACACAUGCCAGUCGAACGAGACCUUCGGGUCUAGUGGCGCACGGGUGCGUAACGCGUGGGAACCUGCACUUAGGUUCGGAAUAACUCCCCGAAAGGGGUGCUAAUACCGGAUAAUGUCUUCGGACCAAAGAUUUAUCGCCUUUGGAUGGGCCCGCGUUGGAUUCGCUAGUUGGUAGGGUAAAAGCCUACCAAGGCGACGAUCCAUAGCUGGUCUGAGAGGAUGAUCAGCCACACUGGGACUGAGACACGGCCCAGACUCCUACGGGAGGCAGCAGAGGGGAAUAUUGGACAAUGGGCGAAAGCCUGAUCCAGCAAUGCCGCGUGAGUGAUGAAGGCCGUAGGGUUGUAAAGCUCUUUUACCCGGGAUGAUAAUGACAGUACCGGGAGAAUAAGCGCCGGCUAACUCCGUG
Molecule: ribosomal RNA, 433 nt
Filed under: uncultured bacterium
Lineage: Bacteria
Description: partial 16S ribosomal RNA
Rfam family: Bacterial small subunit ribosomal RNA
Source: RNAcentral